RNAcentral lists this ribosomal RNA (426 nucleotides) under uncultured bacterium. RNAcentral describes it as "partial 16S ribosomal RNA". It matches the Rfam family "Bacterial small subunit ribosomal RNA", at positions 354 to 796 of the family's 1533-position model. The record is from RNAcentral.
GUGAGGAAUUUUCCGCAAUGGGCGAAAGCCUGACGGAGCAAUGUCGCGUGAAGGAUGAAGGCCUAUGGGUUGUAAACUUCUUUUCUCAGAAAAGAAUUAUGACGGUAUCUGAGGAAUAAGCAUCGGCUAACUCUGUGCCAGCAGCCGCGGUAAGACAGAGGAUGCAAGCGUUAUCCGGAAUGAUUGGGCGUAAAGCGUCUGUAGGUUGUUUAAAAAGUAUUAUGUCAAAGAUUAGGGCUUAACCCUAGAUAGGCAGAAUAAACUUUUAAGCUAGAGUUUGGUAGAAGCAGAGGGAAUUCCCGGUGGAGCGGUGAAAUGCGUAGAUAUCGGGAGGAACACCAAAGGCGAAGGCACUCUGCUGGGCCAAUACUAACACUGAGAGACGAAAGCGAGGGGAGCAAAUGGGAUUAGAUACCCUAGUAGUCC